UACGUAGGCAGCGAGCGUUGUUCGGAGUUACUGGGCGUAAAGGGUGUGUAGGCGGUUUGUUAAGUUUGGUGUGAAAUCUCCCGGCUCAACCGGGAGGGUGCGCCGGAAACUGAGUGACUAGAGUGCGGGAGAGGAAAGUGGAAUUCCUGGUGUAGCGGUGAAAUGCGUAGAUAUCAGGAGGAACACCGGUGGUGUAGACGGCUUUCUGGACCGUAACUGACGCUGAGACACGAAAGCGUGGGUAGCAAACAGG
This 253-nucleotide ribosomal RNA is filed under the name uncultured bacterium. RNAcentral describes it as "partial 16S ribosomal RNA". It matches the Rfam family "Bacterial small subunit ribosomal RNA", at positions 524 to 776 of the family's 1533-position model. The record is from RNAcentral.